GGAGGGGUCGCAUAGUGGCCUAGUGCGUCCGCCUGCUAAGUGGAUAGGGGAGUAAUCCCCUCGCGGGUUCAAAUCCCGCCCCCUCCG
This 87-nucleotide transfer RNA is filed under the name Chloroflexota bacterium. Its description in RNAcentral is "tRNA-Ser". It matches the Rfam family "tRNA". From Rfam's summary of the family: Transfer RNA (tRNA) molecules are approximately 80 nucleotides in length. Lineage: Bacteria; Bacillati; Chloroflexota. The record is from RNAcentral.